CAGGUCUUGACAUCCCGNUGACCGCUAUGGAGANAUAGCUUUCCCUUUGGGGACAGCGUGACAGGUGGUGCAUGGUUGUCGUCAGCUCGUGUCGUGAGAUGUUGGGUUAAGUCCCGUAACGAGCGCAACCCUUGACAUUAGUUGCCAGCAUUCAGUUGGGCACUUUAAGGGGACUGCCGGUGACAAACCGGAGGAAGGUGGGGAUGACGUCAAAUCAUCAUGCCCCUUAUGACCUGGGCUACACACGUGCUACAAUGGAUGGUACAACGGGCAGCGAAGCGGUGAGGUGGAGCAAAUCCCUUAAAGCCAUUCUCAGUUCGGAUUGUAGGCUGCAACUCGCCUACAUGAAGCNGGAAUCGCUAGUAAUCG
RNAcentral lists this ribosomal RNA (369 nucleotides) under uncultured bacterium. Its description in RNAcentral is "bacterial SSU rRNA". It matches the Rfam family "Bacterial small subunit ribosomal RNA", at positions 975 to 1344 of the family's 1533-position model. The record is from RNAcentral.